UACAGAGGUCCCAAGCGUUGUUCGGAUUCACUGGGCGUAAAGGGUGCGUAGGCGGUCGGGUAAGUCUGAUGUGAAAUCUUCAAGCUCAACUUGGAAACUGCAUCGGAUACUAUUCGGCUCGAGGAAUGGAGGGGAGACUGGAAUACUUGGUGUAGCAGUGAAAUGCGUAGAUAUCAAGUGGAACACCAGUGGCGAAGGCGAGUCUCUGGACAUUUCCUGACGCUGAGGCACGAAAGCCAGGGGAGCAAACGGG
RNAcentral lists this ribosomal RNA (253 nucleotides) under uncultured bacterium. Its description in RNAcentral is "partial 16S ribosomal RNA". It matches the Rfam family "Bacterial small subunit ribosomal RNA", at positions 524 to 776 of the family's 1533-position model. The record is from RNAcentral.